RNAcentral lists this transfer RNA (72 nucleotides) under Ovis aries (sheep). It matches the Rfam family "tRNA". Rfam says of the family: Transfer RNA (tRNA) molecules are approximately 80 nucleotides in length. Their secondary structure includes four short double-helical elements and three loops (D, anti-codon, and T loops). Further hydrogen bonds mediate the characteristic L-shaped molecular structure. tRNAs have two regions of fundamental functional importance: the anti-codon, which is responsible for specific mRNA codon recognition, and the 3' end, to which the tRNAs corresponding amino acid is attached (by aminoacyl-tRNA synthetases). tRNAs cope with the degeneracy of the genetic code in two manners: having more than one tRNA (with a specific anti-codon) for a particular amino acid; and 'wobble' base-pairing, i.e. permitting non-standard base-pairing at the 3rd anti-codon position. The record is from Rfam by way of RNAcentral. Lineage: Eukaryota; Metazoa; Chordata; Mammalia; Artiodactyla; Bovidae.
UCCCUAGUAGCUCAGAUGAUAAAGAAUCUGCCUGCAAUGCAGGAGCCCCAGGUUCUAUCCCUGGAUCGGGAA